GCACUCCCAGAAGAUCCGUACGUGUCCGCGCAAGCGGAGGCAGACGGGGACGAUCCGAUAGGAACGCGGCAAAGCACGACCUGGGCGCGUCCGAGUCCCCCG
The submitters of this non-coding RNA (102 nucleotides) gave its source as unclassified sequences. The record is from Rfam.